UCUACCCUUUUUUCCACACCUGUGAACUUAUUUGUAGAUCAAAUCUCGAAGAUCGAACAGUAUACUCAGUCAAUGAUAUCGAACCGUAGUUUAAUUACUACUUAAUAGAUGUAGUUGGCCUAUAUACUUAAUAGAGGCCUAUUGAACAGUCUACUUAAUAGAGGGCAGUCAAGGUUAUUCGAACAGUAGUUUCAAUUACUACUUAAUAGAUGGCUCGGGCAACCUAUCGAACGGUCUACUUAAUAGAGGGCAGUCAAGGUUAUUGAACAGUGUACUUUAAUAGAGGGCAGUCAAGGUUAUUCGAACAGUAGUUUAAUUACUACCUAAUAGAUGGCUUGGGCAACCUAUCGAACAAGUCUACUUAAUAGAUGACUAGUUGCCUUGAGAGAUCUGUGUUUUAUCCUAAUCACACUAUUGUAUGUCUACAGAAUGUAUUCUAUUUUAUUACAACUUUCAGCAAUGGAUCUCUUGGCUCUCGCAUCGAUGAAGAACGCAGCGAAUUGCGAUAAGUAAUGUGAAUUGCAGAUUUUCAGUGAAUCAUCGAAUCUUUGAACGCACCUUGCGCUCCUUGGUAUUCCGAGGAGCAUGCCUGUUUGAGUGUCAUUUAAUUAUCAAUCCAUUAGUCUUUGAUUAGACUUGAUGGGCUUGGACUUGGGAUUUGCUGGCUAACCAAUCAGCUAUCCUUAAAUGCAUUAGCGAGUGAAAGUCUUUUACUACGUGCACGGCCUCUGACGUGAUAAUGAUCGUUGUGGGCUGGAAGGGUAAUGAAUGAACACUUGCUACAAGUAACAUGUCACGGCCUAUUCAUGUGGGCUGGAAGUGUAGCUUGGUACUUAUGUGGCACGGCCUCAUCCGCUGGAAAGCAUAAGCAGAAAUAAAUAAUUUGACCUCAAAUCAGGUAGGACUACCCGCUGAACUUAAGC
RNAcentral lists this ribosomal RNA (923 nucleotides) under Leccinellum indoaurantiacum. RNAcentral's name for it is "eukaryotic LSU rRNA". The stretch from base 449 to 603 matches the Rfam family "5.8S ribosomal RNA". The record is from RNAcentral. Lineage: Eukaryota; Fungi; Basidiomycota; Agaricomycetes; Boletales; Boletaceae.